Molecule: transfer RNA, 73 nt
Filed under: Sporanaerobacter sp. PP17-6a
Lineage: Bacteria; Bacillati; Bacillota; Tissierellia; Tissierellales; Sporanaerobacteraceae
Rfam family: tRNA
About the family: Transfer RNA (tRNA) molecules are approximately 80 nucleotides in length.
Source: Rfam by way of RNAcentral
GCCCAUGUAGCUCAAUAGGUAGAGCACUUGCAUGGUAAGCAAGAGGUAACCGGUUCGAUUCCGGUCAUGGGCU